GUCAUUUUUAAAAUAUCAACCUUAUUAAGAGAAGUAUAGCCAAACUCUUAUAAGUUGUUCUUUGUUUUUAUCUUUAAUUGAUGUUUUAUCCCCUAACAUAUUGAUCUUGCUUCGUAAUAAAUCGUGAACUAAUUGUAUAUAGAGUCAAAUUUUAACGAGACAGUUACACCAUCCGUGUAGAAAAACAAAAGAAGUUAAUAAAACGGACUACUCAACAGAGUUGUGAAUCCAAGCAAGAACUUUCGCAUUGUUUGACCCCCAAUAUCUAACUCCAUCACAUAAUUAUCAUAAGUGCUCUUGGGUUUCACAAGAGUUCCGCUAACGGAACCCCACAAUCUUUUUUCCUUAAGAAAAUUCCUUAUUACGAUACUCCAAUAUGAGUAAUUUUUACCAUUUAAUCUGACUCUAAUGGAUUGAAGCGAAUAAUCUCUUUCAUUUGCCAUUUGAAAUAAAGAAGCAACAAUUGAAUACAACCGAACAGCAAUAUUUAUCAAUUAAAACCCAACAGCCAACUGUGAUCAUCAAACUAGCCCAAAAUAAUAAAUAGUAGCCCAAAAUAUUUUUGGCCUGACUUGCCGAUUUCUUUAAAAAGCAAUAACCCAAAGAGCAGCUCAAAAUAGUUUGAACAAAAUUGUUUAAAAUAAACUCAAAAUGUAAGCCCAAAAGUUUGAAUCCAAUGAAAUUUACCUGCCCAAAUCCGAUCUCAAUUAAGUUUGCAGUUCAACCACCAAAAGAAGAUGCUUUAAAACAAAGGAUGGCCCCAGGGCACAUCUCCAAGUGGUAAAAGGGGAGAGUGGAGAAAUCCAGCUUUGCUUGAGGCUGCUGCGUCAAGGGUUCGAAUCCUGAAAUAUGGAUUUGGCUCUUGGGUAAGUGCAAGUGUACAAGCAGCCUUCCACCCUAUAUCCUUGGAGGCAUAACCUGCGAUUUACCUCCCUGGGGGGCCCUUAAGGUUAGGGUUUAACCCUUUUUUUUUUUUUUUUUUUUAAAAACAAAGGAUGACUCACAAUUCCAAUAAACAAAGGACACCAAAAUCUACAAAAGAGGAAGCCAGAAUCUGCUAAAGAAGUAUUCCUAAAUCUACCAAUUAAAACUACAAUGCCAGCGACUAAAGUAAUUUUGACCUGCACAAAAAGUUACCAUCUGUCGAGAAUCAAUCCAAGACUAAAAGAGGAUGCAAAAAUUGAAGAAACCCAAAAAGUGAGUUUCUUAAACCCAAUGAAGAACCCGCGAAAUUCAAAACGAGUUAUGUUUGUAGCUUUGAUACCAUGUGAAUAAUACGAAUCAGUUUGAUAUAUCAAACCAA
This 1303-nucleotide long non-coding RNA is filed under the name Olea europaea subsp. europaea. Lineage: Eukaryota; Viridiplantae; Streptophyta; Magnoliopsida; Lamiales; Oleaceae. The record is from RNAcentral.